This 465-nucleotide ribosomal RNA is filed under the name uncultured bacterium. RNAcentral describes it as "partial 16S ribosomal RNA". It matches the Rfam family "Bacterial small subunit ribosomal RNA", at positions 28 to 507 of the family's 1533-position model. The record is from RNAcentral.
GACGAACGCUGGCGGCGUGCUUAACACAUGCAAGUCGAACGGUGAACUCCGCUUGCGGGGGGAUCAGUGGCGAACGGGUGAGUAACACGUGGGCAACCUGCCCUCAGCUCUGGGAUAACUCCAAGAAAUUGGGGCUAGUACCGGAUAUGACCGCUGACCGCAUGGUCUGGUGGUGGAAAGAUUUAUCGGCUGGGGAUGGGCCCGCGGCCUAUCAGCUUGUUGGUGGGGUAGUGGCCUACCAAGGCGACGACGGGUAGCCGGCCUGAGAGGGUGACCGGCCACACUGGGACUGAGACACGGCCCAGACUCCUACGGGAGGCAGCAGUGGGGAAUAUUGCGCAAUGGGCGAAAGCCUGACGCAGCGACGCCGCGUGGGGGAUGACGGCCUUCGGGUUGUAAACCUCUUUCAGCAGGGACGAAGCGAAAGUGACGGUACCUGCAGAAGAAGCACCGGCCAACUACGUG